Molecule: long non-coding RNA, 3197 nt
Organism: Cavia porcellus (domestic guinea pig)
Lineage: Eukaryota; Metazoa; Chordata; Mammalia; Rodentia; Caviidae
Exons: 2
Source: RefSeq, a predicted model, not a curated record
GGUUUUUCCUUUUGCUUUUUUUUAAAUUAUGGAAACACUAUCUUAGCAGCCUGAAAAAUAGUUUUUAGAAAUGUCUUAAUUUCACCUUGUUACAGCAUUUUAUAUAUAAUGAAACUAUAUAUUUUUUUGCAUAGUGUUUUUGCCCAUUUGAAAAUGUUCCUUUUAUUAAUCAUUUUUUAUUUUUGAAAGGCACCAUGUUUAGAUGCACUUUUAAACUUAUUCUUCUUUUGAUAUAUUCACAAACUACCAAGAACUUAAAAAAUGAUAUAUAACAUAAAGAAUCAUAUUAAAUAUAAAACUUUUUCUUUUUUGUCUUUCUCAUUUUUAUCGGUACCAGGGAUCGAACUCACGACUGCCUGCUUGCAAGGCAGGCACUUAUGCCGCUGAGCUAAAUCCCCAGCCCCCAAAUAUAAAACUUUUAAGAUUAUUUUAUUUGUACAUGUUAUAGUUCACGCAGUUUACAGUUCUCUUAUGGAGUGCGUACAUGUACGUAAAACACAGCAACAUAGCUUUUUAAAAAAUCUUCCCUUCCCUUCCUUUCCCUUUUUCCUCCUCCUCUAUCCCAUUCUUCUAUCCCAUUCCAAAUCCUGUAUCCCAUUUUUUCAUUCUUGUUGAUACUGUUGUAGCUCAUAUUUAUGACCUAUAAUGUUUACAUUUAUUGAGGUUAUUAGGUUCCUGUCCAUGACAUAUCCUUAUUCUGCUUAUUUUCCUCUUCACCCCUUAUGCUUUCCCCCUUGGGCCAGUUCCCUAUUGCAAGAGAUUCCUUUUCUUUUACCCUUCCCUAUAUCCUUAUUAUUCUCGGUUUGUACUUUGCCUUACUCAAAUGAAAGAUAACAUAUGGUAUAUUAGCUUGUGUGACUGAUUUCUUUCACCCAACAUUGUAUUUUCAGGUACAUCUAUUUUCCUACAAAUGCCUCAAAUCUGUCAAAUCUUUAUAGCAGAGAAAUAGUCCAUUACAUGUAGAUAUACUUUUUUUUAAUAUAAUCACCUGUAGGUGGAUGUACAUGGUUCCAGGAUUUAGCUAUACCAGUUAUGCUGCUAUAAACACUAGUAUACAUGUAUCCUGUAAUAUACUGUCUUAAGCUCUUUAGGGAAGGUACCAAACAAGGAUAGUUGGGUCAUAUGUAAUUUCUAACUUCAGUUGUUUGAAAAAUCUUCAUACUGAUUUCCAUAAUGAUGGUAAUAGGCAAGGAUUUGUUUAGAAAAUUCUUGCCAACACCUACAUUUUCAAGUGUUUUAUCUUCCAGUAGGUUUAUUGUUUCUGUGUUAAUGUUUAAAUCUUCUACAUAUUGAUAACCAGUUUUCCCAGUACCACUUGUUGAAUAGGCUAUUGUUAUGCCUUGCAUAUAGAUGUCCCCCCAGAGCCUCAUGCAGUCAUGGGUGGGGCUCUUUGGAGCUUUUUGGAGGCUUUUUGAAGCCUCAUGCAGUCAUAGGGUAUGUGAUGCUAGGAUCAAGGGUAUGAUGCUGGAUUCAAGGAUGUGAUGCUGAGAUUAAUUUGUGGUGUGGUGCUUAGAUUAACUGUGCUAUCUUCGUUGUCAGUACUAUCCACAAUAAGGGUGGGUAGCCUGUAUAGGAUAUGAUUGACAGAAAGGGGGUUGCUGCUUUUGCUUACUGGUUCUUUGCUGCUUUGAUACCUUCUGCCUACCAAGACCUGUUUCUCCUCUGUGAUGCCCCUCUGCUAUAUCACCCCACCUUGGAGCCAGCCAACUGUGUACUAAAACCUUUACAAACGAUUAACUAAAUAAAAUAAACCUUUCCUCCUUUAACUCUGGGUGUGAAGUAUUUUGUCUCAGCAAUGAGAAAAGUAUCUAAAACCUUGAGCAGGUGCUUAUGUUACAGAGUUAAAUCUCCAGCCCCUGAAGCAUCUAUCUUAAUAAAACAAAAACUGUUGAAAUUAAAAGAUCAAGUAAACACUAAUACAAUCAGAGUAGGGAGGUUUGAAGUAAGGAAUAGUGGUAGAUGAGAAUAAAAGGGUGACGUGGAUUCUGAUUGUAUUGGAGUACUUUGAGUUGAGUUGAAGGAUUUGUACUGAGAGCUUUCAGAGGAUAUUUGUGGGGGAAAGAGUGAGAUAUGGGAGAAAGGAGGUUUAAUUAGUGAUUGAGGAAAGCUAUGUGGUUGUCAGAGCUUGCUGACAGGGAAGACAAACAAUAUGCUUGGUAAAUAUAGAAGAGCCGAAGCUUUAGAAUGGGGAAGACAAGGAAUAAUAUUGGAGAAGAUAGGAGUGACUGUGAGGAGGGAGGUAAGUAUAAUUUAAAAACUUGGGGAGUUUAUAUGUUUGGAAAAGAAUAAAGAAAUAUGUCAAUAAUAUUGUCUCAGGAGUUUGAGGUGAAGAAGCUAGGUAGGGAUCUGAAAUGAGAGAGAAAAGCUAAAUCAGAGUUCAUGAGAGGUCUAGUGGGGAACAUACAUUGUUUCCAGUGAGACACUGCAUAUGUGAUUCCCAGUAGCUUCUUUGCAAGAAAGUCUAAAUCCUCUGACACCAAUAACUCCUCUGAUGCCUGUAUCACAACACUGAAACUAACUCAGACUCAGACUUCUCUUUACUUGGUUGUAGAAAUUCUUGCAGAAAACAGGUUUUGGGGUUAAGAACUCUAUUAUCUCCUUCCCCCAGUGUGAUGGUGGCUUUAGCAGACAGAUUCACUGGCAAUAAAUUGUCCUCUGAGUUAGAAUUAUUCCUAAGCAAUCAAAUCAGCUAAUCUGUUAGAUUAACAGACUAAUCCAUUAAGGUGGUGUCUAUUAGGUUGGUUGAGAAAUAACGUACCGUGAGAUUCUGCUUUGGGCCUCUCACUAGCCCAAAACACAGUUUUGCGUAAGCAUUGUAAGAAUCCAAGUCUUGAUCCACAGUUAAUGUGCAGUAAAUGUAAUGACUAUGUCCCUCUAAUGAUGAAAAACAGCAUUGAACAGUAAUUCAGUUAUCUAAAGCAUGGGGGAUGGUCCAGGUAAUGCCAGACUAGGGAAGGGAAGAGAGUAAAGAAAAAAAAAAAGAGUCCUCCCCACCCCCUUUCUUAAGUCCUCUGCUCUGUGAUAUGGGAAAGAAGAAACAGGAGGGAGGCAAAGGACCCUAGUGUUGGUAAGGGUGUGCUACAUAUUUAGAAGGGAUAACAGGGAAAACUGGAACAAAAUUGGUAGUGGGAAAUCAGGAUGGGAAAAGAUUCUAUGACUGAUGUAGAUAUUAGAGAAAAGGUUAAAAGGGAGGCAAA